This 497-nucleotide ribosomal RNA is filed under the name uncultured bacterium. RNAcentral describes it as "partial 16S ribosomal RNA". It matches the Rfam family "Bacterial small subunit ribosomal RNA", at positions 28 to 507 of the family's 1533-position model. The record is from RNAcentral.
GAUGAACGCUGGCGGCGUGCCUAAUACAUGCAAGUCGAGCGAACGGACGAGAAGCUUGCUUUUCUGAUGUUAGCGGCGCACGGGUGAGUAACACGUGUAUAACCUACCUAUAUUACUGGUAUAACUUCGGGAAACCGGCUCUAAUACCGUAUAAUCUUUUGAUCCGCAUGGUUCAUUAGUGAAAGACGGUCUUGCUGUCUCUUCUAGCUGGAUCCGCGCUGCAUUAGCUAGUUGGUAAGUUAACGGCUUACCAAGGCAACGAUGCAUAGCCGACCUGAGAGGGUGAUAGGCCACACUGGAACUGAGACACGGUCAAGACUCCUAAGGGAGGCAGCAGUAGGGAAUCUGCCGCAAUGGGCGAAAGCCUGACGGAGCAACGCCGCGUGAGUGAUGAAGGUCUUCGGAUCGUAAAACUCUGUUAUUAGGGAAGAACAUAUGUGUAAGUAAAUGUGCACAUCGUGACGGUACCUAAUCAGAAAGCCACGGCUAACUACGUG